CUUCGGGUGCGUUAAUGGGCGUCGAGCGGCGGACGGGUGAGUAAUGCCUAGGAAAUUGCCUUGAUGUGGGGGAUAACCAUUGGAAACGAUGGCUAAUACCGCAUAAUGCCUACGGGCCAAAGAGGGGGAUCUUCGGACCUCUCGCGUCAAGAUAUGCCUAGGUGGGAUUAGCUAGUUGGUGAGGUAAUGGCUCACCAAGGCGACGAUCCCUAGCUGGUCUGAGAGGAUGAUCAGCCACACUGGAACUGAGACACGGUCCAGACUCCUACGGGAGGCAGCAGUGGGGAAUAUUGCACAAUGGGCGAAAGCCUGAUGCAGCCAUGCCGCGUGUAUGAAGAAGGCCUUCGGGUUGUAAAGUACUUUCAGUUGUGAGGAAGGGUGUGUAGUUAAUAGCUGCACAUCUUGACGUUAGCAACAGAAGAAGCACCGGCUAACUCCGUGCCAGCAGCCGCGGUAAUACGGAGGGUGCGAGCGUUAAUCGGAAUUACUGGGCGUAAAGCGCAUGCAGGUGGUUCAUUAAGUCAGAUGUGAAAGCC
RNAcentral lists this ribosomal RNA (536 nucleotides) under bacterium 4873K2-B36. Its description in RNAcentral is "bacterial SSU rRNA". It matches the Rfam family "Bacterial small subunit ribosomal RNA", at positions 67 to 602 of the family's 1533-position model. The record is from RNAcentral.